AUUAGACUUGGUGAUGUCACAGAGUGGGGCUUAGUGAUGUCAUGAGCUAGAACCUGAUUAUGCCAUAGAGUUGCCAACUCUUAGAAACAGUAUAUUUGGUAUGUGAGUUGAGCAUGGCCAAGCAGUGAAAGGGUGGCACUAGUGAUAUGAGUCCUCUGAAACCUGGGGGUGGGGGGGGGGGAGGGAUUUUUUUUUAGUCUUUUUUCUUUUGGGAGCAAGCUGAAACCCUCUUGUGGAUGCUGAGUGAAAUGUUUUUAAAAGCACUUUCCCCAGCUCCUUGCACUUUCCUCUCUAGAAAGUACAGUGGUACCUUGGUUCUCAAACGCCAUCAAAAACCCAGAAGUAAGUGGUUUGGUUUUUGAACUUUUUUCAGAAGCCAAAUGUCCAAUGUGGCUGUCAGCUAUUGUUUCCAGGUCCCUGCACCAAUCAGAAGCUGCGCCUUGGUUUUUGAACAUUUCAGAAGUCAAAUGGACUUCCAGAACAGAUUAAGUUUGGCGCUUUUGUUUUUGCUAUUUAUUUUGCGUUUUUGUUUUAGAGGCUUUUCCAGUUAAUUUGUUUUUGUGAUUGUGUGGAACCCAGUUCAGCUACUGAUCAAUCAUUGUGUGACUGCAGAAAUGGAUAAAAAACCCCGCAUCCAAACAAUAUCAUCAGUGCAGGUAAUAAAAUUUUAAUUCUUAUGAUCUACAAUACUGUUUUAUUUAUUUUAAAGUGUAGUACAUUGAUUAUUGUUUUCGUUUUAUGGAUCAAAGGUCUCGUUAGAUAGUAAAAUUCAUGUUAAGUUUCUGUUUUAGGGGUUGUUUUUGAAAGUCUGGAACGGAUUAAUCCAUUUUGCAUUACUUUCUAUGGGAAAGUGUGCCUUGGUUUUGGAACACUUUGAUUUUGGAACGGACCUCUGGAACGGAUUAAGUUUGAGAACCAAGGUACCACUGUAAGUAACAGUAUGAUUACUCCACAGAUACUAUGCAUUGCUAAUUUUUAUAACUGUUGGUGCUGCUUAUACAAAUUACAUGGGCAAUAGUUACUGCAGCAAAAAUAACAUAACAGAUUGUCCCAGGACGGAAUCUGAAUUAUCUUAAAGGGUGUGGAAUAGCCUCAGCAGUGAUCUGUGGUGCAGUAAAGCAUCAGUGGCACAUCUUGCUUCAGGCAUCAAAUGGUCUUGGGCCAGCCCUAAGCUUAAGUCAUGCUCCUUGCAUGAUUGAAAACCCUGAGAUGUCAUUGUUCUCAAUUAUAUGGGGAAUCACCAUGGAUAUACAAAGCUCCUCACUGCAGAAGUUCACUAAUCACGCAAAAGGCUAGCAGAAGCCCUGCUCUACCUGUGGUUACUCUUCUAGUGACAAUGCUUGAAGAGGGUUUACACAGGUAGGGGGAUUUGGCAGCAUAUGGGCCUGGAUGGGAAGAAUAUUGGGUUGGAAGGUACCAAGGGAGCCUGGAACUCUAGUUGUUUUUCGGUUUUUUACAUUUUGAAUAAGGACAGAAAUAUGAGACAAUGGUGUCGUUAUAGUUACAGACAGCAGAGGUCACUAUUAGCAUUAGAUAGAAUUAAUAACAGGUUUUAAUUCACUUUUCUCAGCACCCUGAUGCAGUCAGAUUCAGAGAAACCUGAGAGGGUACAGCAGGUUUUUUGUGUAGUUUUUUUUUUUAAUGGUGCCAAUACCUUCAGGCGCUUCUGACUCCAGGAAGAGCAACAUUUUCUCACUCUGAAGUUCCCACAAAAGGCAUUAGAAUGGUCAACAGCCCUUCAUGAGAGUCUAGAGACUUGGGGAUUGGAAUACCAGAUCUGAGAGCCCUCUUCAGACUUUGUCAUCAAAAUAGAGUGGGGCUUCAGGGAUGUGUGUCCAGCCAUAUCCCCACACUGGGCAAUUCUUCCGGACUCCUUGUGUGAUUACAAUGAACUUUUGCUGCAGGAGGUCUUUUGUGUAUUCAUGGAUGUUCCCUGCAUUAUUUAGUUUUUUAUUAUAUAUAAAAAAUCAGUUUUAAAGGUGAAUGAGCAAGAGAUUGUGAAAAUAAAGCACACAUCAGUAAAAAGAACAAAGACUCGGGUCACUGUUUGUACAAGUAUGAAUAUGUAAAGGAAGUAUGGUGGGUAGGAGCAAGUUAAUGGAGUCUAACAGAAGAUUAGAGUCAGGCUUCAUGUUAAGGAAUCUCUCCAGAAGGAUUCCUGAUAUCCUGGCGGAUGCAAAUACCAUCGACAGAAGAGUUAAUAAAAGACAAUAAAGGGAGGGAGGAAUAGUCGUCUAUCAGCAAGUUAGUUAGUUCUUACUGCUAUAGUUUUCUAGCUUAGAAGAGGGUUUAAGGAUGAGAUAAUUAUGCUUUUAUAGAUAGUUUAUUACUGUUUUAUUAUGUAAUUUUAAUAAUACUUAAUGUUUAUAUAGUGCCUUAGAGCUUCCAAAGAGGACCACAUACACAUCAUCUCUGUAAUAGCAGCCCUGCAAAUGAUAUGGCAGCAUUACAAUCAUCCCUGUUGAACUUCAGGCACUCAGCAAAGACCUUUCCAUUUCAGCAGGCAAAAAUCAAGCAGAAAAAUCAAACAAAACCUCAACAACACUCCCAGCUGUGAUAUUGUAAGACCAGCUUUUCUCAACCUUGGGUUUCCAGAUGUUGGUGGCCUACAACUCCUAUCAACCAUGGCCAGCAGGGGCAGCACUCAGGAAUGAUGGGAGUGGUAGUCCAGUAACAUCUGGGAACCCAAGGUUGAGAGAAGCUGCUAUAGACUAGUAUAAGGGAAAAGUCCCUGUGGAAGGAGAUUUAGUUACUCUGUCCCCCUUCAUGUGUGUGAGAUGUCUUAUUACGUUGCACAGGAGAUUUACCUCUUUCUCCUUGAUGUCACAGCACCACAAAUCUGCUUAAAGUCAUUUGUUUCCCGGGCAGUUGUAACAGAUGGAUGGAAAAUAGAGGAUCUAAAAAGUAAUAUUGUAAGCAGAGAAUUCUGCAGAGUGAGAUGGCAGUUUUCCACCCUACCACUAAAAAAAAAGUUCAUGAAGGUCUUAUCCGCUAAAGGGAAUUUUGUCAGAUCAGAAAGUUGGGAGCGUUUGCAUUGUAUCAAAUGGAAAAAAAUGAGCAUGCUCCCCCGAUUACCUGUCUGUACAACAUGUCACUAGACUGUAAAUUUCUUGAAGUCGCCAGGUGCCAAGAUCUCCAGAUCCAUAGAAUGCACAUAGAGUACUAUCAAAGAACAGUAUGUUCUGUUUUGCUUUCCUCACCGGGUUACUAUUUUGUCAGUUUUUCCUGCCUUAUUGUUCUCACAUGGAGAUGCUCAACUUUUCCUGGGUGUUACAAGCCUCUCAGGCUUUAUUCAUGAAUUUUAUUCUCCAAGGGCUCUUUGCUGUAAAGGAAAAGCUCAUAAUCCACCUGAAAGGACUGAGUCCCAUUGAUAUCAAUACAACAAGGUUUAGCACAGUCCUAAGCAAGUUUACUUAGUGGUACGGCCCACUGUGUUCAAUAGACUUACAACCAAGGUAAGUUGUUGCAACUAAAUCAAGCCUGGUCACUUUCAAGCAUUUCAAUAAGAAAUAGUCACAACAAAUGUUAGCUGGAUUGGAGCCAAAAUAAAUAAUAAAUUUGGCAAGCCUUUGCUAUGUUCUUGUUUUACCUUAAUAUAAAAUGAGAUUUUUUUAAUGCGACCUGUAUUUGUUUUUCUGAUGUUUUUGAAACCUAUCCUGGGAUGACUUGGUGAAGGGCAGGCUAUAAAUGUGAUAAAUAAAGCUGCAUAUGGGUACAAUCCUGUGCCAAAGGACAGAAUCCCAGAAAGAGCAGAGGUAAUGCACCAGGAGGCAAAGCCCAUAAGUAAAGGGGUGCAGCCUAUAGAAACCACCUAAUCUAUCUAAAAAUAGC
Molecule: long non-coding RNA, 3831 nt
Filed under: Podarcis lilfordi (Lilford's wall lizard)
Lineage: Eukaryota; Metazoa; Chordata; Lepidosauria; Squamata; Lacertidae
Source: RNAcentral